This 499-nucleotide ribosomal RNA is filed under the name uncultured bacterium. RNAcentral describes it as "bacterial SSU rRNA". It matches the Rfam family "Bacterial small subunit ribosomal RNA", at positions 51 to 541 of the family's 1533-position model. The record is from RNAcentral.
UCACAUGCAAGUCGAGCGGAAACGAUCCUAGCUUGCUAGGAGGCGUCGAGCGGCGGACGGGUGAGUAAUGCAUAGGAAUCUGCCCGGUAGUGGGGGAUAACCUGGGGAAACCCAGGCUAAUACCGCAUACGCCCUACGGGGGAAAGCAGGGGAUCUUCGGACCUUGCGCUAUCGGAUGAGCCUAUGUCGGAUUAGCUAGUUGGUGAGGUAAUGGCUCACCAAGGCUGCGAUCCGUAGCUGGUCUGAGAGGAUGAUCAGCCACAUCGGGACUGAGACACGGCCCGAACUCCUACGGGAGGCAGCAGUGGGGAAUAUUGGACAAUGGGCGAAAGCCUGAUCCAGCCAUGCCGCGUGUGUGAAGAAGGCCUUCGGGUUGUAAAGCACUUUCAGUGAGGAAGAAAGCCUUGAGGUUAAUACCCUCGAGGGAGGACAUCACUCACAGAAGAAGCACCGGCUAACUCCGUGCCAGCAGCCGCGGUAAUACGGAGGGUGCGAGCGU